CAGGCAUAGUCGGUGUCCCAUUUGGAGUCGGUGCGGCUUCUUCCUCGGUAUCUCCCUCUUCCGAUCUAGGAGGAACGAUGUUGCUCAAGUCCAGAUUCGAGUAUAUUUUUUCGAUUGCAUCUUGGUCAUCUUUAUACCCGAUACAGUACGAAGUGAAGCCAUUUUCGAGGAUCUCCUCCUUGUAUUCUCUUGAACCUCAGAAAUCCUCGAUCGCCCG
This 217-nucleotide long non-coding RNA is filed under the name Elaeis guineensis (African oil palm). Its description in RNAcentral is "long non-coding RNA (EGUI_LNC001579)". Lineage: Eukaryota; Viridiplantae; Streptophyta; Magnoliopsida; Arecales; Arecaceae. The record is from RNAcentral.